Molecule: long non-coding RNA, 1489 nt
Filed under: Homo sapiens (human)
Lineage: Eukaryota; Metazoa; Chordata; Mammalia; Primates; Hominidae
Description: HSALNT0386575
Source: RNAcentral
AUUUCAAAGAAUAUUCCACCUAGGAGAGACCCAGGUCCUGCAGACUUCCUCUGGACACUUUUGGCAGUCAUUGUUCCCAGCUGAUUCUGCAACAGAUGAAGGACGGAGGAUAGAAUCAUGAAUAGCAACAUCUUAAUUGCUGACUGGGUGUUGAUUCUAAGGAUACCCCCAAUAAACAUCUUUCGUGCUAAAGCCCAUUCCAGAAUUUACUUCCCAGCUAUCUUUGAUGUUCAUAUUGUCAGAGGUGGUGGCCGCUGAAACAGGCAAAGACAUGGAGCAUAUCUUGGGUCCAGGACCUUGGGAGUCCAGAGGAAGGUCUUUUUACCAUCAGCAUUCUCUACUGUGUUCAAUGACUGUCAGCCAAAGAUGGCCAGCUUUCCUUCAGAAAGAAAUGCAUUCAAAGAACCUACAUUCACAACAUAAAGAAAUAAAGCCUGCACCUACAGAUCUACACACAUGCCCAUGCACAUGCAGGAAGUGUUCAUCUAAGACUGGACCUUUUAGAAGAAAGCUGGCAUACAUUCGUGAAGGCAUGGGCUUCCAGGCAUGUCAUCUUCACUCACGAAGCACACACAAGACCGCCAAGCAUUAAGAUUCUCCUGUGGAGCCAGGCUACAAUCCUUUAAAUGAAGACAGACAGCUAGGUGGCUGCAGCCCAGCGCUACACCUCACCCCUCCCUCAGUGUCAUGCAGAAAAAAUGUAUUCAGAACUCAGAAGUGAAGUUGUGCAAAUCCAUCAUUGACACUAGCUUCAAGGUUACCUCGGGGGAGCAGAAUGUACCCCUGCCAGAGAGCUGGAUAGAUGAUGAUGGGGACAGAAAUUCUGGGGGAGUUGUAAAUGGCAGCCACUGCCUCUAUAGGAAACCCAAAGGGAACACAGCAGAAGAGGAGGUGGUGGAGGAGCCACUGCCCUCUCGAAGGGUUCAAUGUCAUUCUGCAGACACAACCAAAUAACUUUUUCUUCCCUGCUGCUCCUCCAUUUGAAAUGACAGCCCCGAGCUCGCUUUUUCCUUGAUUGUGUAACUCUGAUUACAGACAAGGCCAAGGCAAUCCCAGGGCAUUACUACAAAGCUAAGGGGUCCCCAAAGAACUAAAGAGUCAGCUCCACAAAAAUCCCGAUUCCUAGCAUGAAACUGAAAUAUGAAACCAAACGGGCAUAGAAAAGGUAUGUGCAUUCGAAUCACAUAGCAGUGACUGGAGUCCUGAGCUGUGUCUGAAGACUGUGAGAUCACGUUUGGAGCUGCUGAUUGGUUUUCAGUGAUGGCCCUGUUGCACAGUGCCGUGAGACUUAGCUCCAUGGCCAAAGACGAUGGUAUCCCCUAGGAGCCCUGUGAGGUUGCUGCUGUUCUCUUAAGACACCAGGUAGCCAUCUGAUCCUCCCUGAGCAAACUAACUGGGCAGACAGGUUUAUUAAACCUCUGUUGGUCCGACUUACAUGAAACAAGAGAGUUAUUUUGUUGUUGUUGUUUUGUUUUGUUUUAAAUUAAAC